Molecule: ribosomal RNA, 245 nt
Filed under: uncultured prokaryote
Description: partial 16S ribosomal RNA
Rfam family: Bacterial small subunit ribosomal RNA
Source: RNAcentral
UACGGAGGAUGCAAGCGUUAUCCGGAUUCAUUGGGUUUAAAGGGUGCGCAGGCGGGGAUGUAAGUCAGUGGUGAAAAGCUGCCGCUUAACGGUAGUCUUGCCAAUGAUACUACAUUUCUUGAGUAUGGUUAAGGUAGGCGGAAUGUGCAGUGUAGCGGUGAAAUGCAUAGAGAUUGCACAGAAGGCAGAUUGCGGAGGCAGCUUACUGAGCCAUAACUGACGCUGAGGCACGAAAGCGUGGGGAU